AGAGAGGUGUUUCAGACAGAGGAGACCAUGAGCAAUAGUUUAGAUGUUGUUCCUAGAGCAGCACAGAUCGAGCAUGAAGUGCUAAAGGCUGGAGAGGCAAGAAAAUCCCAGGGGGAUUUUCUUUGCCUCCCAGGAGGCAAAGUCUACUUCAUCCCAUAAGAAUUGAGAGGUCAGAUGGCCUUCCAGCCACACCCUGCCCUUCCUCCUCCCUAGGCUCCAACUUGCCAGUCUGAUAAUGUGUGUCUUCUUCCCCUCAGUGAAUCAUUAAUGCCUUACCUGCGGACUUCACAAUAGCCCUCAGGUGGGCCGGUUAUGAUGCAGCAAAUGCAAUCACCAUCCCUUGGGUUUCCAUUACACUGUCAAAGAAACAGACUACAGGCAUUAACACCUCCCAUCUAAGCCUGUUGCCGGAGUAUGGUCAGAGAAAGGGAAAAUGGCUAUCCAAAGGGUGGAACACAGAAGACUGGACAUCCAGGAGCUGAAGAAAGGGACACUGAAGACGGCGACUCAAACAGGAAUGGAAAAUCAGUCAAAAUCCCUAGUGACAACUGCUCCUGCUUUCAUCAAGCUUCCCUGUGUUGCCAAGAGGACCUGUGUUCUGCGCUACCAUUGGGGAUAUGGACCAAAUUCAACAAAUCAGACCCCCGCAUUGCCCUAGGAAAAUACUCCCCCUUGGAAAAAGAGAUCUUGCGUCUAGGUGGUGUUCAUACUAUAGCCACGAGAAGGUUUUUGGCUUCCAAACAAGAGGAAGAACGGAAAAUGGUGCAGGAACUGCGGAUGCUGUCUCCAGACUACAAACAGGCCAUGGAAUAUAAGAAACAGUGCUCCCCUCCUUGUGCUGUGUAUGAACCCGUGAAGAAACUGUGGACAGCACGAGUGACUGUGCCUGCCGAGGAGUUCACAAUGCCCCAGAGGGAGAAGAUCAACGUCAGCAGGCACGUAGAGAGGAUGCAGCUGGCCCGAACCCUGGGAAAUGCCCUGGUCUCCUACGCUGAAAGACUCAGAAGCGCCAUGUCUCUGGGUCUGCCAGCAAAGGGCAAGGCGAAGAAAGAUGGGGACAGUCUUGACAGUGAUUAUUGUGAUACUAUCAAGCAGGAGGAGGAAAAGGAGGAAGAGGGCAAAGUCCCAAGAAGACAAGAAAUAAAAAUGAAUGUCAUUUUUAAGUCAGAAGAAGCAAACAAAUGUUUACCAUGCCAAGCAAAGGAUUGCAAACCUUUCCUUCCCAUAAAGACACCGGAACGGUCCAUUGCAGGCCUAACAAACCGAAAUCUCCUUCCCCUAGCUGAGUUCCCUGGAGACCUCAUGCUCAUGAACCAGAAUUUUAUAUCUCGGGGAAUCCACACCAGUGAUAUACUCGGUACCUACCACCUGCAAGAAGGGAAUCCCUGCAAGGAGUGCAUGGGCAAAGCUGCUCCUCCUAAUUAUUAAACUUGAAUUUAUUCCCCAAGGCACCCAAGGGUCCUUAUUUCUUUCGCACACUGUGCCCCAGGCUCCUUCCCUAGUUUGG
This 1507-nucleotide long non-coding RNA is filed under the name Chinchilla lanigera (long-tailed chinchilla). RNAcentral describes it as "lncRNA (ENSCLAG00000022534.1)". The record is from RNAcentral. Lineage: Eukaryota; Metazoa; Chordata; Mammalia; Rodentia; Chinchillidae.